RNAcentral lists this long non-coding RNA (262 nucleotides) under Capsella rubella. Its description in RNAcentral is "long non-coding RNA (CRUB_LNC000680)". The record is from RNAcentral. Lineage: Eukaryota; Viridiplantae; Streptophyta; Magnoliopsida; Brassicales; Brassicaceae.
UUUCCUCAAUUAUACUAGUUAUAUCAGUUAUACCAAUAAUACCAAUUUUACCAGUAUGACAACAAAAUCUAAGGAAAAUAUCAAAAUUCGUUUGAAAAAAAAUUUAUACAAAAAAAAGGAAAAAAAAUUCUGAAGUGUAUUGUCACGUGUGCAAUAUGUGUUUACACUUAGUGUUCACACUUAGUUAUACCCAAGAUUGUAGUUGUACCAAAUUUGCAAAUAGUUGUACUUUUGAGGUUUUUUCAAUUUAAUUAGUUUUACC